Molecule: ribosomal RNA, 506 nt
Filed under: uncultured bacterium
Lineage: Bacteria
Description: bacterial SSU rRNA
Rfam family: Bacterial small subunit ribosomal RNA
Source: RNAcentral
UCCUGGCUUAGGAUGAACGCUGGCGGCGUGCCUAACACAUGCAAGUCGAACGAAGCACUUAGCGGAACCUUCGGGGGUAGCUGUGUGACUGAGUGGCGGACGGGUGAGUAACGCGUGGGGUAACCUGCCCUGUACAGGGGGGAUAACAGCCGGAAAUGGCUGCUAAUACCGCAUAAGCGCACUGAUGGUAGCAUUACCAGGUGUGAAAAAACUCCGGUGGUACAGGAUGGGCCCGCGUCUGAUUAGCUUGUUGGCGGGGUAAGAGCCCACCAAGGCAACGAUCAGUAGCCGGUCUGAGAGGAUGAACGGCCACAUUGGAACUGAGACACGGUCCAAACUCCUACGGGAGGCAGCAGUGGGGAAUAUUGCACAAGUGGGGGGAACCCUGAUGCAGACCAACGCCGCGUGAGUGAAGAAGUAUUUCGGUAUGUAAAGCUCUAUCAGCAGGGAAGAUAAUGACGGUACCUGACUAAGAAGCUCCGGACUAAAUACGUGCCAGCCGCUGC